GCGCAAGCCUGUACCAGCCAUGCCGCGUGAAGGAUAAAGGCCCUAUGGGUCGUAAACUUCUUUUGUACGGGACGAAACCCCCGAACGUCUUCUGGGCUGACGGUCCUGUCCGAAUAAGCAUCGGCUAACUCCGUGCCAGCACCCGCGGUAAUACGGAGGAGGCAAGCCUUAUCCCGAUUCAUUCGGGUUAAAGGGUGCGUAGGCGGGAUAUUAGGUAAGUGGUGCAAGCCUGCAGCUUAACUGUUGAAUUGGCAAUGAUACUGAAAUUCUUGAGUAGAGUUGGGGUAGGUGGAAUGUGGGGUGGAGCGGUGAAAUGCCUAGAUAUGACACAGAACACCGGUUGCGAAGGCAGGUUACUUAGCUGUUACUGAUGGUGGGGCACGGAAGGGUGGGGAGCAAACAG
This 403-nucleotide ribosomal RNA is filed under the name uncultured bacterium. RNAcentral describes it as "bacterial SSU rRNA". It matches the Rfam family "Bacterial small subunit ribosomal RNA", at positions 375 to 775 of the family's 1533-position model. The record is from RNAcentral.